This 337-nucleotide ribosomal RNA is filed under the name uncultured bacterium. RNAcentral's name for it is "bacterial SSU rRNA". It matches the Rfam family "Bacterial small subunit ribosomal RNA", at positions 1 to 334 of the family's 1533-position model. The record is from RNAcentral.
CUAGCGACUUCAGAGUUUGAUCCUGGCUCAGGAUGAACGCUGGCGGCGUGCUUAACACAUGCAAGUCGAACGGAAAGGCCACAGCUUGCUGUGGUACUCGAGUGGCGAACGGGUGAGUAACACGUGGGUGAUCUGCCCUGUACUUCGGGAUAAGCUUGGGAAACUGGGUCUAAUACCGGAUAGGAAUCACAUGUGGGUGUGUGGUUGGAAAGCUUUUGCGGUAUGGGAUGAGCUCGCGGCCUAUCAGCUUGCUGGUGGGGUAAUGGCCUACCAAGGCGUCGACGGGUAGCCGGCCUGAGAGGGUGUACGGCCACAUUGGGACUGAGAUACGGCCCAG